UACGAACUGUGCGAACGUUAUUCGGAAUCACUGGGCUUACAGGGUGCGUAGGCGGCUACUCAAGUCAGGUGUGAAAGCCCCCGGCUCAACCGGGGAACUGCGCUUGAAACUGGGUGGCUCGAGUCAGCUAGAGGUGCACGGAACUUCCAGUGGAGCGGUGAAAUGUGUUGAUAUUGGAAGGAACACCAGAGGCGUAAGCGGUGCACUGGGGCUGGUCUGACGCUGAGGCACGAAAGCCAGGGGAGCGAACGGG
This 253-nucleotide ribosomal RNA is filed under the name uncultured bacterium. Its description in RNAcentral is "partial 16S ribosomal RNA". It matches the Rfam family "Bacterial small subunit ribosomal RNA", at positions 524 to 776 of the family's 1533-position model. The record is from RNAcentral.